GUGGGGAAUAUUGCGCAAUGGGGGAAACCCUGACGCAGCAACGCCGCGUGAAGGAAGAAGGUCUUCGGAUCGUAAACUUUUGUCUUCUGGGACGAAGAAUGACGGUACCAGAGGAGGAAGCCACGGCUAACUACGUGCCAGCAGCCGCGGUAAUACGUAGGUGGCGAGCGUUGUCCGGAAUUACUGGGUGUAAAGGGCGCGUAGGCGGGACUGCAAGUCAGAUGUGAAAUACCGGGGCUUAACCCCGGGGCUGCAUUUGAAACUGUAGUUCUUGAGUGCAGGAGAGGGAAGCGGAAUUCCUAGUGUAGCGGUGAAAUGCGUAGAUAUUAGGAGGAACACCAGUGGCGAAGGCGGCUUUCUGGACUGUAACUGACGCUGAGGCGCGAAAGCGUGGGGAGCAAACAGGAUUAGAAACCCUAGUAGUCC
Molecule: ribosomal RNA, 426 nt
Filed under: uncultured bacterium
Lineage: Bacteria
Description: bacterial SSU rRNA
Rfam family: Bacterial small subunit ribosomal RNA
Source: RNAcentral